ACGAGUUAGGGUCUUUUAGGCCCGACCUCCAACCCUGUGUCUAAUUACCCUGUUGCUUUGGCGGGCCCGUCUUCGGACCGUCGGCGGUCAGCAAUGACUUCUGGCAAGCGCCCGCCAGAGACCAUUUUAAAAUCUUGUUGAAACGUGUCGUUCUCAGUUAAAAAUUAAAUUGUCA
RNAcentral lists this unclassified non-coding RNA (175 nucleotides) under uncultured Chaetothyriales. RNAcentral's name for it is "sequence contains ITS1". The record is from RNAcentral. Lineage: Eukaryota; Fungi; Ascomycota; Eurotiomycetes; Chaetothyriales.